This 275-nucleotide ribosomal RNA is filed under the name uncultured bacterium. Its description in RNAcentral is "partial 16S ribosomal RNA". It matches the Rfam family "Bacterial small subunit ribosomal RNA", at positions 524 to 796 of the family's 1533-position model. The record is from RNAcentral.
UACGAAGGGUGCGAGCGUUGUUCGGAAUUAUUGGGCGUAAAGCGCACGUAGGCGGCUGGGUAAGUCUGUCUGUGAAAGCCCGGGGCUCAACCCCGUGGAUUGCAGGGGAUACUGCCUGGCUGGAGACAAGCAGAGGUUGGUAGAAUUCCGGGUGUAGCGGUGGAAUGCGUAGAGAUCCGGAGGAAUACCAGAGGCGAAGGCGGCCAACUGGGCUUGUUCUGACGCUGAGGUGCGAAAGCGUGGGGAGCGAACAGGAUUAGAAACCCCCGUAGUCC